UGGAUCAAUGAUGAUCAUUGGUAGGGUGUGAAUCCCCCUCAUUGAUGAAGCCCGUGGUGUAACUCUGAGGCCAAU
Echinops telfairi (small Madagascar hedgehog) is the source of this 75-nucleotide small nucleolar RNA. Lineage: Eukaryota; Metazoa; Chordata; Mammalia; Afrosoricida; Tenrecidae. The record is from Ensembl.